AUACGUAGGGUGAGAGCGUUGUCCGGACUUACUGGGCGUAAAGAGCUCGUAGGUGGUUUGACGCGUCGUCUGUGAAAUUCCGGGGCUUAACUCCGGGCGUGCAGGCGAUACGGGCAUAACUUGAGUACUGUAGGGGAGACUGGAAUUCCUGGUGUAGCGGUGAAAUGCGCAGAUAUCAGGAGGAACACCGGUGGCGAAGGCGGGUCUGUGGGCAGUAACUGACGCUGAGGAGCGAAAGCAUGGGUAGCGAACAGGAUUAGAUGCCCUGGUAGUCCAGGCCGUAAACGGUGGGCGCUAGGUGUAGGGGUCUUCCACGACUUCUGUGCCGUAGCUAACGCAUUAAGCGCCCCGCCUGGGGAGUACGGCCGCAAGGCUAAAACUCAAAGGAAUUGGCGGGG
Molecule: ribosomal RNA, 398 nt
Filed under: uncultured bacterium
Lineage: Bacteria
Description: partial 16S ribosomal RNA
Rfam family: Bacterial small subunit ribosomal RNA
Source: RNAcentral